RNAcentral lists this ribosomal RNA (478 nucleotides) under uncultured Planctomycetales bacterium. RNAcentral describes it as "bacterial SSU rRNA". It matches the Rfam family "Bacterial small subunit ribosomal RNA", at positions 364 to 832 of the family's 1533-position model. Lineage: Bacteria; Pseudomonadati; Planctomycetota; Planctomycetia; Planctomycetales. The record is from RNAcentral.
UUUCGCAAUGCCCGAAAGGGUGACGAAGCGACGCCGCGUGUGGGAAGAAGGCCUUCGGGUUGUAAACCACUGUCGGGAGUUAAGAAAUGUAAGGAUGUUAAUAGCGUCCUUACUUGACUAAGGCUCCGGAGGAAGCCACGGCUAACUCUGUGCCAGCAGCCGCGGUAAUACAGAGGCGGCAAGCGUUGUUCGGAAUUAUUGGGCGUAAAGAGCACGUAGGCGGCCUUGCAAGUCAGUUGUGAAAGCCUUCUGCUUAACGGAAGAACAGCAGCUGAUACUGCAAGACUAGAGUGCGGAAGGGGAGAGUGGAACUUCUGGUGGAGCGGUGAAAUGCGUAGAUAUCAGAAGGAACACCGGCGGCGAAGGCGACUCUCUGGUCCGUAACUGACGCUGAGUGUGCGAAAGCUAGGGGAGCAAACGGGAUUAGAUACCCCGGUAGUCCUAGCCGUAAACGAUGGGCACUAAGUAGAGGGGUUUU